Molecule: ribosomal RNA, 704 nt
Filed under: Citrobacter sp. 1-19
Lineage: Bacteria; Pseudomonadati; Pseudomonadota; Gammaproteobacteria; Enterobacterales; Enterobacteriaceae
Description: bacterial SSU rRNA
Rfam family: Bacterial small subunit ribosomal RNA
Source: RNAcentral
CUUGCUCCUUGGGUGACGAGUGGCGGACGGGUGAGUAAUGUCUGGGAAACUGCCCGAUGGAGGGGGAUAACUACUGGAAACGGUAGCUAAUACCGCAUAACGUCGCAAGACCAAAGAGGGGGACCUUCGGGCCUCUUGCCAUCGGAUGUGCCCAGAUGGGAUUAGCUAGUAGGUGGGGUAACGGCUCACCUAGGCGACGAUCCCUAGCUGGUCUGAGAGGAUGACCAGCCACACUGGAACUGAGACACGGUCCAGACUCCUACGGGAGGCAGCAGUGGGGAAUAUUGCACAAUGGGCGCAAGCCUGAUGCAGCCAUGCCGCGUGUAUGAAGAAGGCCUUCGGGUUGUAAAGUACUUUCAGCGAGGAGGAAGGUGUUGUGGUUAAUAACCGCAGCAAUUGACGUUACUCGCAGAAGAAGCACCGGCUAACUCCGUGCCAGCAGCCGCGGUAAUACGGAGGGUGCAAGCGUUAAUCGGAAUUACUGGGCGUAAAGCGCACGCAGGCGGUCUGUCAAGUCGGAUGUGAAAUCCCCGGGCUCAACCUGGGAACUGCAUCCGAAACUGGCAGGCUAGAGUCUUGUAGAGGGGGGUAGAAUUCCAGGUGUAGCGGUGAAAUGCGUAGAGAUCUGGAGGAAUACCGGUGGCGAAGGCGGCCCCCUGGACAAAGACUGACGCUCAGGUGCGAAAGCGUGGGGGAGCAAACAG